Molecule: ribosomal RNA, 437 nt
Filed under: uncultured bacterium
Lineage: Bacteria
Description: partial 16S ribosomal RNA
Rfam family: Bacterial small subunit ribosomal RNA
Source: RNAcentral
CCUACGGGUGGCAGCAGUGGGGAAUAUUGCACAAUGGGGGAAACCCUGAUGCAGCGACGCCGCGUGAGUGAAGAAGUAUUUCGGUAUGUAAAGCUCUAUCAGCAGGGAAGUAAAUGACGGUACCUGUUUAAGAAGCCCCGGCUAACUACGUUCCAGCAGCCGCGGUAAUACGUAGGGGGCCAGCGUUAUCCGGAUUUACUGGGUGUACAGAGAGUGUAGACGGCAGCACAAGACCGGAGUGAAAUGCCGGGGCUUAACCGCGGAACUGCUUUGGAAACUGUGCAGCUAGAGUGCAGGAGAGGUAAGUGGAAUUCCUAGUGUAGCGGUGAAAUGCGUAGAUAUUAGGAGGAACACCAGUGGCGAAGGCGGCUUACUGGACUGUAACUGACGUUGAGGCUCGAAAGCGUGGGUAGCAAACAGGAUUAGAUACCUGUAGU